Long non-coding RNA from Octopus bimaculoides (California two-spot octopus), 791 nucleotides. RefSeq lists it as uncharacterized. Lineage: Eukaryota; Metazoa; Mollusca; Cephalopoda; Octopoda; Octopodidae. The record is from RefSeq and is a predicted model, not a curated record.
UAUUUUAUUUUAAAUGUAUUAUCAGUCGUGGAAGACAAAAUGUGUUUAUUCUUAAAUAUAGGAAUAAUCAAAGGUUUUCUUCUGUAUAGUCACAGCUUCCAAUGUUUAAUUUGUUUUAAAGCACACGAUGUUGUUGUCAUUUAAUCCAGAUCAGGCUCAAUCCAACAGAUCUGUAACCCAUGAUGCUUCAUUUUAAUGUUUCCUCUAUAUCCCUAUAACAUGACAGAAAAACAGAACCCUCUGAAUGUACAAAGUCUUUUCCCUAGAUGAUAGAACAACUCAUCUUAGACAUUUAGAUAUUUUAGUCAAGACUACAUCAGGGUCAAGCAAAAAGGAUGGAGGUGCACAGCAGCCUGUUUUUGUUUUUUGUUUUUCUUUUCUUUUUUUUUUUGCUUUUUUUUUGUAAAAUAAUCAAGGAAGGUAAAAGAGUGUCCACAAUCAUUUUAAGAUUUACCUCCUCAGAGACUGUUGAUAUUAAUGUGGUUGAUGCCCACAAAAGAUUUAAAGUAAUGCAAAAGACACCCAAGGAAAAGCAUGUCGUUUGAACCAGGAGCUGUCUUCAUACAUUCAAGAAUACAUACAUUCACACACACAAAUAUAUAUAAAUAUAUAUGCAUAUACAUUAUAUAAAUACAAACAUACAUAUAUACAUACAUAAAAUCUUACAUAUGUAAAGACAUACAUACAUACUUACCUGUAUGUAUGUAUGUAUGUAUGUAUGUAGGAUACCUUUGAGUUUGUGUAAGAGAGAUUAAGAUUACAAUAAAAUAAUGAAAGGAAUAUGUAUUAAA